AGUUCGAUUAUGGCUCAGAUUGAACGCUGGCGGGAUGCUUUACAUGCAAGUCGAACGGCGGCACGGAACAGGUGUGGUGGCGAGAGUGGCGAACGGGUGAGUAAUGUAUCGGAACGUGCCUAGUAGCGGGGGAUAACUACGCGAAAGCGUAGCUAAUACCACAUACGCCCUUCGAGAAAGCGGGGACCUUCGGGCCUCGCACUAUUAGAGCAGCGAAAUAUCGGAUUGCUUCGAUUGGUGGGGUAACGGCUCGCAAGGCGACGAUCCGUAGCUGGUUUGAAGGACGACCAAUAACACUGGGACUGAGACACGGCCCGAACCUGCGGGAGGCAGCAGUGGGGAGCCCUGGACAAUGGAAACCCUGAUCCCAGCCAUCACGUGUGCGAUGAAGGCCUUCAGGUUGUAAACGCGCGGCGGGAAAGAAACGGCCUGGGAUAAUACCCCCGUGCAACUGACAGUACCUGCAGAACCAGCACCGGCUAACUACGUGCAACCAGCCGUAAUGCGUAGAAGUGCAAGCAUUAAUCAGAAUUACUGGGCGUAAAGCGUGCGCGAGCGGUUCGGGGAAAGAAAGAUGUGAAAUCCCAGAGCUUAACUUUGGAACUGCAUUUUUAACUACCGACUAGGUGUGUCAGAGGGAGGUGGAAUUCCGCGUGUGGCAGUGAAAUGUGAGUAUGCGAACACCGAUAGCGAAAAACCUCUGGGAUAACACUGACGCUCAUGCACGAAAAGCGUGGGAGCAAACAGGAUUGAAUACCCUGGUAGUCCACGCCUAAACGAUGUCAACUAGCUGUUGGGGCCCUUCGGGCCUUGGUGAUGCAGCUAGCAGUGAAGUUGACCGCCUGGGAGUACGGUCGCAAGAUUAAAACUCAAAGGAAAUUGACGGGGACCCGCACAAGCGGUGGAUGAUGUAGUUAAUUCGAUGCAACGCGAAAAACCUUACCUACCCUUGACAUUAUCUUGAAUCCCGAAGAGAUUUGGGAGUGCUCGCAAGAGAACCGAGACACAGGUGCUGCAUGGCUGUCGUCAGCUCGUGUCGUGAGAUGUUAGGUUAAGAGAUCCCGCAACGAGCGCAACCCAUGACUCCAUUAGUUGCUACGAAAGGGCACUCUAAUGAGACUGCCGGUGACAAACCGGAGGAAGGUGGGGAUGACGUCGUCCUCAUAGCCCUUAUGGGUAAGACUACGUCAUACAAUGGUCAGGACAGAGGGUCGCCAACCCGCGAGGAGCCAAUCCCAGAAACCCGAUCGUGGUCGAAUCGCAGUCCUGCAACUCGACUGCGUGAAGUCCAGAAUCAACAAUCGCGGAUCAGCGCCAUCGCGGUGAAUACGUUUGGGUCUUCUUUCUUGUCACACCAUGGGAAUUAGGUUUUACCAAGUAGUUAGCCUAACCGUAAGGAGAAGGCGUUACCACAGUAGGAUUCAUGACUGGGGUGAAGUCGUAACAAGUAG
Molecule: ribosomal RNA, 1451 nt
Filed under: uncultured Bordetella sp.
Lineage: Bacteria; Pseudomonadati; Pseudomonadota; Betaproteobacteria; Burkholderiales; Alcaligenaceae
Description: partial 16S-23S ribosomal RNA intergenic spacer
Rfam family: Bacterial small subunit ribosomal RNA
Source: RNAcentral